This 30-nucleotide non-coding RNA is filed under the name Rattus norvegicus (Norway rat). Lineage: Eukaryota; Metazoa; Chordata; Mammalia; Rodentia; Muridae. The record is from RNAcentral.
UAUCUGAGCCUAUGGGAGCCAUUACUUUUC